Long non-coding RNA from Pistacia vera, 1013 nucleotides. RefSeq lists it as uncharacterized. NCBI's taxonomy places the organism in Eukaryota, Viridiplantae, Streptophyta, Magnoliopsida, Sapindales, Anacardiaceae. The record is from RefSeq and is a predicted model, not a curated record. The transcript has 4 exons.
UUGUUUAUUAUUUAUUGAUCUUGGAAAGGUUGUCUUAUGCCAUCAUCUUUUCUGUUUUAUAUUAUCUUCAGAUAUUCAUUGUGUUAACUGUAUGUUUUUUGGAACAUGUGAUCAAGUUCAGUUUUCUAAUCAUCCAACUUCUUUUGUCAUUCCAAAAUUUGAUCUAUUUCGUAAUUAAUAUGUUUUAAGUUAUUAGCUACAAAAUGGUUUAAAUGUGCAUUAUUUCCUGUACUGCAGCUUUUGUAUUUUGAUUAAACCCUUGUCUUUUACUUUUAAUGAGUUUACUUCAGUUGUUUAUAGAUGGGGCUAUACUUUUGCAUUAGCAUUUUUAUCUACCUUCUAUUUCUGGAUAUUGCCUAACAAUUAUUCUGUUAAACUAAAGCUUGUAGCCCUUAUUCAUACUUAUUGUUGCAGGGUGGCAACAACGAGGGAGAGGAAUUUAACACUGGGCCACUUUCUGUUUUGACGACGAGUGUUAAAAUAACACACAGGUAAGAUACAGUAGUAGUAACCUAGAAUAGGAACAAAAAGUUAAGUAAAUUUCCUGAUGUGGUGAGAAGAAGCGUUUUAAAUUUUUAAGAGUGCUCAAAAGAAACAAUAGGGCAGUUUGCUGUUGGAAACACCAAACCAGUUAUCUGGGAUGGUCCAAUUGGAUUGAAUCUUUUAAGAACUUGUGGCAUUGUACAUGUUGGACCAACACAUGUUUCAAUUUUCAAAACUUCCAAAGAGCCCUUGUGCUUAAUCUGCUUUUGGGCCAUGGAACUCCUUGUACUGACUUGGGAAAUCUCUUCUUGGCCGUGUGAGGGCAUUUGAUCGACACUGCAACAUGGUUUUUGAAAAUGUUAGGGAGAUGUGGACUGAGUUACCAAAAAACAGAAAAGGGUAGAAGCAAGCUCUUCCAGUCAACAAAGAUAGAUUCAUCAGUAUGUUGUACCGCCGAGGGGACUCUGGUAUCAUUGUCCUUAGGAAUCUAAAGUGAUAUAGCUAGUUCCUUGUGAUCCUUAAUACUUGAA